Molecule: RNA transcript, 1103 nt
Organism: Oncorhynchus keta (chum salmon)
Lineage: Eukaryota; Metazoa; Chordata; Actinopteri; Salmoniformes; Salmonidae
Exons: 8
Source: RefSeq, a predicted model, not a curated record
GUUGUUUCAAACCAUCCAUGGCUUGUAGGAGGGUGAUGUUUCAAACCAGAGACGAGUAAAACUGGUCUGAAGCUUUUUGAAAUGGAAACUGUUCUGUCUUUGGAGAUGAGGAAGCUGAAGAAGAAACUGGACCCAUCCUACAUUAGGAGCGAGAACAUUCUAGUUGCUCUCUUCGCCAACCGGGGUUAUGACGAGAAGCCAGAGGUUGCUCUGCCAAGUGGACUAAACGAUAAAGUGACUGGGACAGAGAAUGCAUUAAAAAAGAAGAUCCAGGAAUCCAAGAGCGGACGCUUUUUGGAGAAGGACAAACGCCUUCUGGAAGAGCUGAAGAGCCUGCACUGUGACCCACACCCAUUCUGCACUGUUCUGCCUUCAGAGUCAGACUUUACGUUUUGGAAGAUUCUCAUGCAAGGCCCUCCUGAUACACCUUAUGAGGAUGGAGUCUUUGAGCUGUACUGUCAGUUUGGAGCUGACUACCCCGUCAAACCUCCACUUGUGCGCUUUGUCACACCUGUGUACCACUGCAACAUAAACAGUGUGGGUCGUAUCUGCCACAACAUAUUUGACCGCAGCUACAACGCUCACAUAACCAUGAGAGAGAUCUUGGAUGCUGUAUAUGGACUGCUCAUCGUUCCUGAACCCCAAGAUCCACUGGACAGUAUUUUGGCAGAGGAAUACCUGACCAGCAGAAACAAGUAUGAAGAAGAGGCCAAGAAGAACACAGAGGAAGUUGCAGGCCAAUCAUUGGAUGACAUGGAGAAGGGGUGGGGAAAAGUGUGACACCACUCCAGCACCGGAGGACGGAAGUUGACCGAUCCUAAGUAAAACACCAACGACCUCAUCAAAAGGCUGUGAGCAUGCAACAGAGAGGACAGCAGUCCUUUCCCUAAGAUGAUCUGUCCUUGUCAAAAGGUUGAAGGAGAAAAAACAACCAACGGUGUUCUGUCAUUCACAUGCAACACAUCAGACACUAUCAGUACAGUUCUCUGACUGUUGUUCAGGGAGCACCAGUGAUACAGUCACCAUCAUGAUAAAAUCUCAUGUCAUAUUGCAACUCAAAGUUAUUGCAUUCUGUUCUGUAUAAAACAAUAAACUGCGGCUAC